GAUCAUUACUGAGUUUACGCUCUACAACCCUUUGUGAACAUACCUAUAACUGUUGCUUCGGCGGGUAGGGUCUCCGUGACCCUCCCGGCCUCCCGCCCCCGGGCGGGUCGGCGCCCGCCGGAGGAUAACCAAACUCUGAUUUAACGACGUUUCUUCUGAGUGGUACAAGCAAAUAAUCAAAACUUUUAACAACGGAUCUCUUGGUUCUGGCAUCGAUGAAGAACGCAGCGAAAUGCGAUAAGUAAUGUGAAUUGCAGAAUUCAGUGAAUCAUCGAAUCUUUGAACGCACAUUGCGCCCGCCAGCAUUCUGGCGGGCAUGCCUGUUCGAGCGUCAUUUCAACCCUCAAGCUCUGCUUGGUGUUGGGGCCCUACAGCCGAUGUAGGCCCUCAAAGGUAGUGGCGGACCCUCCCGGAGCCUCCUUUGCGUAGUAACUUUACGUCUCGCACUGGGAUCCGGAGGGACUCUUGCCGUAAAACCCCCAAUUUUCCAAAGGUUGACCUCGGAUCAGGUAGGAAUACCCGCUGAACUUAAGCAUAUCAAUAAGCGGAGGAAAAGAAACCAACAGGGAUUGCCUCAGUAACGGCGAGUGAAGCGGCAACAGCUCAAAUUUGAAAUCUGGCCCUAGGCCCGAGUUGUAAUUUGCAGAGGAUGCUUUUGGUGCGGUGCCUUCCAAGUUCCCUAGAACGGGACGCCAGAGAGGGUGAGAGCCCCGUACAGUUGGACACCAAGCCUUUGUAAAGCUCCUUCGACGAGUCGAGUAGUUUGGGAAUGCUGCUCAAAAUGGGAGGUAUAUUUCUUCUAAAGCUAAAUACCGGCCAGAGACCGAUAGCGCACAAGUAGAGUGAUCGAAAGAUGAAAAGCACUUUGAAAAGAGGGUUAAACAGCACGUGAAAUUGUUAAAAGGGAAGCGCUUGUGACCAGACUUGCGUCCGGUGAAUCACCCAGCUCUCGCGGCUGGGGCACUUCGCCGGCUCAGGCCAGCAUCAGCUCGCUGUCGGGGACAAAAGCUUCAGGAACGUAGCUCUCUUCGGGGAGUGUUAUAGCCUGUUGCAUAAUACCCUUCGGCGGGCUG
This 1073-nucleotide unclassified non-coding RNA is filed under the name leaf metagenome. RNAcentral's name for it is "partial contains internal transcribed spacer 1, 5.8S ribosomal RNA, internal transcribed spacer 2, and large subunit ribosomal RNA". The stretch from base 496 to 1073 matches the Rfam family "Eukaryotic large subunit ribosomal RNA", at positions 1 to 590 of the family's 3401-position model. The record is from RNAcentral.